CUUACACAUGCAGUCGAGCGGAGAUGAGGUGCUUGCACCUUAUCUUAGCGGCGGACGGGUGAGUAAUGCUUAGGAAUCUGCCUAUUAGUGGGGGACAACAUUCCGAAAGGAAUGCUAAUACCGCAUACGUCCUACGGGAGAAAGCAGGGGAUCUUCGGACCUUGCGCUAAUAGAUGAGCCUAAGUCGGAUUAGCUAGUUGGUGGGGUAAAGGCCUACCAAGGCGACGAUCUGUAGCGGGUCUGAGAGGAUGAUCCGCCACACUGGGACUGAGACACGGCCCAGACUCCUACGGGAGGCAGCAGUGGGGAAUAUUGGACAAUGGGGGGAACCCUGAUCCAGCCAUGCCGCGUGUGUGAAGAAGGCCUUAUGGUUGUAAAGCACUUUAAGCGAGGAGGAGGCUACUGAGACUAAUACUCUUGGAUAGUGGACGUUACUCGCAGAAUAAGCACCGGCUAACUCUGUGCCAGCAGCCGCGGUAAUACAGAGGGUGCGAGCGUUAAUCGGAUUUACUGGGCGUAAAGCGUGCGUAGGCGGCUUUUUAAGUCGGAUGUGAAAUCCCCGAGCUUAACUUGGGAAUUGCAUUCGAUACUGGGAAGCUAGAGUAUGGGAGAGGAUGGUAGAAUUCCAGGUGUAGCGGUGAAAUGCGUAGAGAUCUGGAGGAAUACCGAUGGCGAAGGCAGCCAUCUGGCCUAAUACUGACGCUGAGGUACGAAAGCAUGGGGAGCAAACAGGAUUAGAUACCCUGGUAGUCCAUGCCGUAAACGAUGUCUACUAGCCCGUUGGGGCCUUUGAUGCUUUAGUGGCGCAGCUAACGCGAUAGUAGACCGCCUGGAGGAGUACGGUCGCAAGAACUAAAACUCAUAUGAAUUGACGGGUGGCC
This 881-nucleotide ribosomal RNA is filed under the name uncultured bacterium. RNAcentral describes it as "bacterial SSU rRNA". It matches the Rfam family "Bacterial small subunit ribosomal RNA", at positions 48 to 922 of the family's 1533-position model. The record is from RNAcentral.